This 634-nucleotide ribosomal RNA is filed under the name uncultured bacterium. RNAcentral's name for it is "bacterial SSU rRNA". It matches the Rfam family "Bacterial small subunit ribosomal RNA", at positions 9 to 655 of the family's 1533-position model. The record is from RNAcentral.
GAGUUUGAACCUGGCUCAGGAUGAACGCUGGCGGCGUGCCUAAUACAUGCAAGUCGAGCGAACCACUUCGGUGGUGAGCGGCGAACGGGUGAGUAACACGUAGGUGGUCUGCCCAUCAGACGGGGACAACGAUUGGAAACGAUCGCUAAUACCGGAUAGGACGAAAGUUUAAAGGUGCUUCUGGCACCGCUGAUGGAUGAGCCUGCGGCGCAUUAGCUAGUUGGUAGGGUAAAGGCCUACCAAGGCGACGAUGCGUAGCCGACCUGAGAGGGUGAACGGCCACACUGGGACUGAGACACGGCCCAGACUCCUACGGGAGGCAGCAGUAGGGAAUCUUCGGCAAUGGGCGAAAGCCUGACCGAGCAACGCCGCGUGAAUGAUGAAGGCCUUCGGGUUGUAAAAUUCUGUUAUAAGGGAAGAACGACUUUAGUAGGAAAUGGCUAGAGUGUGACGGUACCUUAUGAGAAAGCCACGGCUAACUACGUGCCAGCAGCCGCGGUAAUACGUAGGUGGCGAGCGUUAUCCGGAAUUAUUGGGCGUAAAGAGCGCGCAGGUGGUUGAUUAAGUCUGAUGUGAAAGCCCACGGCUUAACCGUGGAGGGUCAUUGGAAACUGGUCGACUUGAGUGCAGAAGA